CUUUUUUAAACAAAACAUUUUAAUUCCACGCUGAACACGAAAGGCGGUGACACUUCACUGAACAGGGGUUUGGCUUUAUUUUUGAAGAGCACAGGCCAAAAUACUUUUUUUUUUAUUUUCCAAGGGGUACAAACCUGGCAAAUGUCACUCCAAUCUUUCUUGGGUUUUGUCCUAAUUAAUAAACGUUUUGGAACGGAGCUACUGCGCUUCGAUUAAUAUGAGAGUUGGCUUGAAAGCGUACACUUGUUAAUGGUUCUCUUACACACACUACAUACAAAAAGAAACGAUCAAGAAGAUACAAACUGUAAGUCUUGUAAUUUUUUUAAUGUAGCCUUUCUUUAAUUCAGUAACAUUGUAUUGCAAUGCAAUCCGUGCCACAUUUUAUACAAACGUGAAAAACCUCUCAGACAGAGGGCGGUAGUUCUUCCGCGAAUGACUAUGAAGGAAAAAUGCACGGUAGGGCGAGAUCGCUUCUGCGGGUAAAGAUUUGGGAUUUUGACAUGCUCAAGAUAUUCAGUUUCAGAUAACCAGAAAAGCCACUGAUGGGGUAACAAGUUCACAUAUCACCCAUAAUGUUUUAACUGAGAGAGCAGAUCAAUUUAUAGAACUGACCUGGUGGAAAAACUGUGGAUUUUUUUUUUCUUCUAAUAGACAUCCCAAAUGUCAUCUUCACAAUGCAGUUUCAGUAAAAUGAAGUAUAUUACGUAUAUUAAAAGUGCCUUUGAAUUCAUUUGCCCAAAGCUCUCUGCAGUUAUAUUCAGUGGUUACAGUAUGAUACAUAAGAAAUUGUGAAAAUAAAUGUUACUCCUGCCUUA
Long non-coding RNA from Lepisosteus oculatus (spotted gar), 815 nucleotides. RefSeq lists it as uncharacterized. The record is from RefSeq and is a predicted model, not a curated record. Lineage: Eukaryota; Metazoa; Chordata; Actinopteri; Semionotiformes; Lepisosteidae.